UGCAGUCGAGCGGAACGAGUUAUCUGAACCUUCGGGGAACGAUAACGGCGUCGAGCGGCGGACGGGUGAGUAAUGCCUAGGAAAUUGCCCUGAUGUGGGGGAUAACCAUUGGAAACGAUGGCUAAUACCGCAUGAUGCCUACGGGCCAAAGAGGGGGACCUUCGGGCCUCUCGCGUCAGGAUAUGCCUAGGUGGGAUUAGCUAGUUGGUGAGGUAAGGGCUCACCAAGGCGACGAUCCCUAGCUGGUCUGAGAGGAUGAUCAGCCACACUGGAACUGAGACACGGUCCAGACUCCUACGGGAGGCAGCAGUGGGGAAUAUUGCACAAUGGGCGCAAGCCUGAUGCAGCCAUGCCGCGUGUGUGAAGAAGGCCUUCGGGUUGUAAAGCACUUUCAGUCGUGAGGAAGGUGGUGUAGUUAAUAGCUGCAUUAUUUGACGUUAGCGACAGAAGAAGCACCGGCUAACUCCGUGCCAGCAGCCGCGGUAAUACGGAGGGUGCGAGCGUUAAUCGGAAUUACUGGGCGUAAAGCGCAUGCAGGUGGUUUGUUAAGUCAGAUGUGAAAGCCCGGGGCUCAACCUCGGAAUAGCAUUUGAAACUGGCAGACUAGAGUACUGUAGAGGGGGGUAGAAUUUCAGGUGUAGCGGUGAAUGCGUAGAGAUCUGAAGGAAUACCGGUGGCGAAGGCGGCCCCCUGGACAGAUACUGACACUCAGAUGCGAAAGCGUGGGGAGCAAACAGGAUUAGAUACCCUGGUAGUCCACGCCGUAAACGAUGUCUACUUGGAGGUUGUGGCCUUGAGCCGUGGCUUUCGGAGCUAACGCGUUAAGUAGACCGCCUGGGGAGUACGGUCGCAAGAUUAAAACUCAAAUGAAUUGACGGGGG
Molecule: ribosomal RNA, 881 nt
Filed under: Vibrio sp.
Lineage: Bacteria; Pseudomonadati; Pseudomonadota; Gammaproteobacteria; Vibrionales; Vibrionaceae
Description: bacterial SSU rRNA
Rfam family: Bacterial small subunit ribosomal RNA
Source: RNAcentral